GAUGAACGCUGGCGGCGUGCCUAAUACAUGCCAGUCGAGCGAACGGACGAGAAGCUUGCUUCUCUGAUGUUAGCGGCGGACGGGUGAGUAACACGUGGAUAACCUACCUAUAAGACUGGGAUAACUUCGGGAAACCGUAGCUAAUACCGGAUAAUAUUUUGAACCGCAUGGUUCAAAAGUGAAAGACGGUCUUGCUGUCACUUAUAGAUGGAUCCGCGCUGCAUUAGCUAGUUGGUAAGGUAACGGCUUACCAAGGCAACGAUGCAUAGCCGACCUGAGAGGGUGAUCGGCCACACUGGAACUGAGACACGAUCCAGACUCCUACGGGAGGCAGCAGUAGGGAAUCUUCCGCAAUGGGCGAAAGCCUGACGGAGCAACGCCGCGUGAGUGAUGAAGGUCUUCGGAUCGUAAAACUCUGUUAUUAGGGAAGAACAUAUGUGUAAGUAACUGUGCACAUCUUGACGGUACCUAAUCAGAAAGCCACGGCUAACUACGUG
Molecule: ribosomal RNA, 497 nt
Filed under: uncultured bacterium
Lineage: Bacteria
Description: partial 16S ribosomal RNA
Rfam family: Bacterial small subunit ribosomal RNA
Source: RNAcentral